Long non-coding RNA from Empidonax traillii (willow flycatcher), 1232 nucleotides. RefSeq lists it as uncharacterized. The transcript has 5 exons. NCBI's taxonomy places the organism in Eukaryota, Metazoa, Chordata, Aves, Passeriformes, Tyrannidae. The record is from RefSeq and is a predicted model, not a curated record.
CCGCCCGCCCGGCGCCCCCCCCGCCGCCCGGCAGCAGCAGCAGCAGCGCCUCAGACCCGCCACCCCAUCGCUGGAUGUUCCUCCACUUUACCCACCGUAUCAAACAACUUUUACCAGUAAAUAUCGGUUUAUUCCUGAAACCAGAAGCCCUAAACAUACCUUUGUUUAUAAGUUUUCCUGCUCUGCACCUCUGGGAACUGGAGCCCGCAGGACCUAGAGCCUUCUGUUGGUAACGUAGACCCGAGUUUACAAGUUAUUCUUUUGCCAUUUUAAAUCCUGCUUUUAAGGACAGAGGUGGUGUUCCCUCCUGUCCACCACGGGGAGUGAUAGAAACCCCUGCCAAAUGCCUAAAUUGCUCCUCCUCUCCGAAGCCUGCGGCCUGGGUGGUUCUGAUUGCUGGCAGUUCUGUAAUACAACCUUAAUCUGAGCAGUUGAGGCUGGUCCUACCUUAUCUUCAGACGUCUUGCGGAGGACUCCUGUUACCAGUUUGGUACUCAAAAGCUCCACCCCACCAUCAGAAGUCACUUUUUGUUUUUUUCCAAAGGCAGUGAUAGCUCACCCUCUCUAGCUCUAAUGGAAAACAUGAUAAUUGCAAUGCAACUUUCUAAUAAAUUGUUCGUAUAUUCAUAAUUCCGUUGCAAUCCCAAAUUGGAGAAGAGAUCUGUUAAAGUGCACUGGUGUACCAAGGCUCAGAACCACUGCUUUCUCCAGCUCAUAGGAUGCUUUUCCAGACUGUGGAUACGUGUAUGUGUACUGCUGUGUUGAUAAGUAAAAACCAACGAUGGAGUUCGUUGCUUUUAUACAUCCCAAAGAGAAGUUCUCCACCGUUCCCUGUCUGUUUUCUGACCGAAAAGGCGUGUUUGUGAACAGUGUUCACGCGAGCUCUGCCAUCCCACCCUCACAUCAGCUCACACCAAUGCCAGGAUGGGAGGAGUUGCCAGCGGACCUGCCCCAAAAACACCCCCGGGGCCGCAGUGGCAUCGUCAGGGAGCAGUUCAAACCUGUGUCCUUUGGGCUUUGUGUAAAGCAAACGCAGAACAAAAAAUCGAGAUGUUAAAUCCAUUAGAGAACCAAUUCCUUAUUGUACAGUAGUAUGGAGAUCUCUAGUCAACCUGCCAUUAAUAAUAGAUUCUUAUUUUUUGAAUGAUCUAUUUAAAAGAACAGCAAGCAUUGUAUUUGCUAGUAAAUCUGAAGUGUUUACAUGGAAUUACUAAAUAAAUUAUUUGAUCUAA